AGUAUUCUUGCGCUGACUGGCGCUGGUUGUGCUUGUGUUCAGAUCGAAUUCAGGGAUCGCAAGCAUAUCCUGUACGCGAAAGGAUAUACCCCUCAGUCAAGCAACAAUUUGUAUUGUCAUCCUAGCAGCUUGAAAAAUAUAUAAAGAAUAUAUAAUUAGCAGCAAAUAAGUGAUAGGGAUUUCAUCAAGUGCUAUGUUAAAAUUAGCGAAUGUGAAACUGCUCCUCGUGAGCUGGAGUUGCCUGGCAGCUGUGGCGCAGGCAAAGUCCUACGGUUCCCCAGAUCUCGACAUAGACAGCGACAACGCCAUUGUCGCUCACGAGGACACAUUGGACCCGUUUGCAAGUUGUGAAAUCUACUGCUAUGGCAAUCUAUUGCACACUAUCCAAAUGGCUUCACCUCCAUUGUUCUCGGACUCAAAGACGUUUGUGGACAUGACACUUAAGAAUUCGCCCGACAAGACCCUUGCCGACUUUAAUGCAAUGAUGGAGGCCAAAAACAAUACGCCCAGCAGGGACGACCUGAAGAUAUUCGUCGAUGAAUACUUUGGAGUCAAAGGCACCGAACUAGAAUCGUGGGAACCCACGGACUGGAAAGAGAAUCCCAAGUUCCUCGAUCUUGUUUCUGACCCAGACCUUAAGCAGUGGGGCAUGGAACUGAAUAACAUUUGGAAGAAACUGGGCCGCAAAAUGAAGGACGAUGUGAAGAAGAACCCGCAGCACUACUCGAUCAUCCCGGUGCCCAAUCCAGUGAUUAUACCCGGUGGUCGUUUCAUUGAGUUCUACUACUGGGACUCCUACUGGAUCAUCAGGGGACUGCUCUACAGCGAGAUGUACAACACUGCCCGCGGCAUGAUUGAGAACUUCCUGUCGAUCGUGAACAGGAUCGGUUUCAUUCCGAACGGCGGACGAGUCUACUACCAUGGCCGCUCCCAGCCGCCACUUUUGACCGGAAUGGUCAAGUCAUAUGUGGAGUUCACCAACGAUGACCUGUUCGCCAUUAAUGCCUUGGAGGAUUUGGAGCACGAGUUCGAGUACUUUGUGAACAACCACACGGUGGAGGUCAAGAAUCACAGCCUGUGCGUCUAUCGCGAUUCGUCGUCGGGUCCGCGACCAGAGUCCUACAGUGAAGAUUUCAAGAGCGCUGCUAAAUUCGAGUCAAACGACGACAAGGAGCGUCUUUACACCGAGCUGAAGGCCGCGGCUGAAUCGGGAAUGGACUUUAGCACGCGCUGGUUCAUCUCUGAGAAUGGCACCAACGAAGGAAAUCUGACCAACCUAAGUACCACCUCCAUUGUGCCCGUCGACCUGAACGCCUAUCUGUACUGGAACGCCAAGAUGAUAGCCGAAUUCCACUCCAAGGCCGGCAACACCAAGAAGGUGAUCGAGUACGAGAACAAGGCCGAGAAGCUUUUACUGGGCAUCCAAGAAGUGCUGUGGAACGAGGAGGUCGGAUGCUGGCUGGACUACGAUAUGAAGAACGAAAAGCCGCGCAACUACUUUGUGUCCACCAAUCUCUCGCCGCUGUGGGCUAAGGCCUUCAACAUUUCCGAUACGGAAAAGAUCUCGGCUAAAAUUAUGGCCUAUAUUGAGAAGAACAAGCUGGACACAUAUCCUGGCGGAGUUCCCAACACGUUGGCCACUCCCGGAGAGCAGUGGGACUUUCCCAAUGUGUGGGCGCCGAUGCAGUACAUCGUGGUCGAGGGCCUAAACAACCUGAACACUCCCGAGGCCAAGAACAUGUCCAAGAAGUGGGCCACCCGCUGGGUGAAGUCAAACUUCAAGGCUUAUACCGACAAUUUUGACAUGUACGAGAAGUACAAUGCCGAAGUUUUCGGAGGACAUGGCACAGGUGGCGAGUAUGAAGUGCAGACGGGAUUCGGCUGGUCCAACGGCGUGAUCAUCGAGUGGCUAAGCAAGCACGGACGCGAUAUUUCGACGGGCGCGGGAGGCGGUGCAUCAGGUGAUGAGCCGCAAUAGAAUGAAUCUGUAGCCAGGCCACAACGCUAUCCAUCAGACAUCAUUGUCAGACAUCAGAUAUCAUCGUCAGACAUCAGACAUCAUCACAGGCUCAAAGCCAAAGCUUUUUUAAAUAAAUUGUAUUUAGAUAUUUGUUAAGCAUCCAUCCAAAAGCGCUCAUAAAUUGCUCAUUCUUAGGCUAAGACAAUGCUCUCUCUCUCUGCAAUAUCUAUACCUACAUACGCCGCUGUCCAUAAUCUAUAUCUGUAUCGCGAACUAUCGAACUAUCGAAAUCCCGGGUCAAGCACUACGAACCAGAGCACCACAAUCACAGCACCGCCAGGAAUCAGGAUCCGAUGUCCGCCAUCCAUCGAGCAUCUCUGUACUGUCUGUUUUCCAUUAAAUCCACGUCCAGUCCACGUUUGCACAUUCGUGUGACUUGUCCAAAUUCAAGCAAAAAUCGAAAAGAACAUUAUAUGUCUCAAAGCAGUCCGAGCGUCGCGACCAAGUUGAGGAUUCACGCCUGUGAGAGUGAUGAGCGUUGUGGGCGUGGCAGCUGUUACUAUAGUGGCUCUGAUAGCUGGUCGUGUUCUAUGGUGAGACAACCUGUGCCAAAACAACCCGUAAUUGCUUCCCAAGUAACGUGAUUCCCCCAUGCGUGUGUGUGUGUGUGUGUAGUGUCUGUUAUUGUUCAUGACUUUCGUUGAAUGCGGAGAUUGCAGUAUUAGUUUAACAUUAUUUGGUAGUUGAAGUGAGAGUUGUAUAUACUGAAUUUAUAUGGGCAUGCCCAAAAUUGUUAGUAUGUUUUAAUAUUUAGCAAAUACCUAUACCAAUCCUAGCUCCUCGCAACCAAAUGAAGACACAAAUACAAUUGUUAACAAAAA
This is an RNA transcript of Drosophila elegans, 2841 nucleotides long. It is a transcript of the gene named trehalase, with no coding region annotated. The transcript has 7 exons. The record is from RefSeq and is a predicted model, not a curated record. NCBI's taxonomy places the organism in Eukaryota, Metazoa, Arthropoda, Insecta, Diptera, Drosophilidae.